This 460-nucleotide ribosomal RNA is filed under the name uncultured bacterium. RNAcentral's name for it is "partial 16S ribosomal RNA". It matches the Rfam family "Bacterial small subunit ribosomal RNA", at positions 338 to 795 of the family's 1533-position model. The record is from RNAcentral.
CCUACGGGAGGCAGCAGUGAGGAAUAUUGGUCAAUGGGCGGAAGCCUGAACCAGCCAAGUAGCGUGCAGGAUGACGGCCCUAAGGGUUGUAAACUGCUUUUAUACGGGAAUAACGCGCCUUACAUGUAGGGCUUUGCAUGUACCGUAUGAAUAAGGACGGGCUAAUUCCGUGCCAGCAGCCUCGGUAAUACGGAAGGUCCGGGCGUUAGCCGGAUUUAGUGGGUUUAAAGGGAGCGUAGGCCGCAUGUCAAGCGUGCUGUGAAAUGUGCGGGCUCAACCCGGGCCUUGCAGUGGGCACUGGCGUGCUUGAGUCCGCGGAAAGCAGGCGGAAUUCGUCGUGUAGCGGUGAAAUGCUUAGAUAUGACGAAGAACCCCGAUUGCGAAGGCAGCUCGCUGCAGCGGAACUGACGCUGAUGCUCGAAAGCGCGGGUAUCGAACAGGAUUAGAUACCCGAGUAGUC